RNAcentral lists this ribosomal RNA (115 nucleotides) under Klebsiella quasipneumoniae. The record is from RNAcentral. Lineage: Bacteria; Pseudomonadati; Pseudomonadota; Gammaproteobacteria; Enterobacterales; Enterobacteriaceae.
UGGCGACAAUAGCGCGGCAGUCCCACCUGACCCCAUGCCGAACUCAGAAGUGAAACGUCGUAGCGCCGAUGGUAGUGUGGGGUCUCCCCAUGUGAGAGUAGGGAAUCGCCAGGCA